RNAcentral lists this long non-coding RNA (401 nucleotides) under Capsicum annuum. RNAcentral's name for it is "long non-coding RNA (CANN_LNC013226)". The record is from RNAcentral. Lineage: Eukaryota; Viridiplantae; Streptophyta; Magnoliopsida; Solanales; Solanaceae.
UAUGUCAUCCAUCCUAUUUCAUGUUUCAUUACGACCUUGGUGUACUAUUCUCUAUCUUGUGCCGGGGAUCUAUCGGAAACAAUCUCUCUAUUUCUGUGGAGAUAGCAGUAUGAAUUGCGUACAUCUUACCUCCCCAGACCUCACUUUGUGGGAAUACACUGGACUGUUGUUGUUGUUGUAUAUUGUGUCUUUCCAGUAUUAUGAUAUUUUAAAUUUUAGAUAAAAAAUAAAAUUAAUAGAAAACAGUCAGCAAUAGUUGUCAGAAAUGGUGGUGGUUCGACGGAGGAGAACGAUGUGGAUAUGACAAAAUGAAAGAGCUGAAAAAGAAGACAAUGAAUGAAUCAUAAAUGAAAAGUAAAAAAUAAAUAAUAAAUAAGAAGAAAAAAAAGGCAAAAGAAAAA